UGUGUUUGAAGCGUGCACUGUGUGUGUGAGAGAGAGAAGGGGGGAGGGGAUUCGCGGUGAUAACAUCUCCUGUUUGCAAGCCGACACAUUCAAGGUAUUUCAUUUUACAGCUCUGGUACAAUCCGACUAGGAAUUCUUGCUUUUUGCUAAAGACGCGGGCUUUUUUUCUGACUCCAAAAAUAACUUCUAAGGAAAAUGUUCCCCGCCGAGAACCCUGGACUCGAGAUCUUAAACGCAGCAGCAGGAGCGCGUGCACGCGAGACUCAACACGUUUUUUUUCUACGACUGUUGGGUAGAAAUACACAGCAAGCACGGCGCGAGUUUCAAACUUUGAUUCGCUAAAGUUUCAUUAUUUUCCGCAAAGCAAUUUGCAAGACCAAAAAAGGACAACGACGGAGCAGAACUGUUUCAGAAAAGCAUUUGUAAAUGCCUUCUUUUGCAGGACCAAUGCGAAUUUCUUGAUGAAAGGAAAAGCUGCUGGAUCGACCUUUUUCAUUUUGGGGGAAAAGAAAAUCGCAUGGAUUGUGGGUGGUGCUUUCAAAACAAAAUCCAAAGACAACCCGAAGCGAAGUGCACAAAACAGGCGUUUUUAAAGAGAUAGUGAUGUGAUGACCAGGGUGCAUGCACGCUUGAAACGGAAGCGUUUUUGGAAAGGGAAGAUUGCAUUUAUUUCCCACCUAAUUUUCUUCGGGCACAGGAAGUCUUUGCAGUCGAAGCGGAGGACACUAGUCAAGACUACAAAUAUGCAGUUCAAGUUCUGACGCGAACACAUUUUAGAUCCAGCAUAGUGAUGGAUUGCAGAUUGAAAGUGGACGUUUCUUCGCUCAACCUGGCAUCUACAAGCUACUGUACAGCGACUGAAUUGUUCCCCGUAUUGUUCUUUUCCGUAUUUUUCUAUUUUUGAUUUUGGAGAGGAGUGCUGGGGGACGGGGGACAUGUAUGUUGACUAAGGAUUGGGAAUUUUAAGUUACAUGUUAUUAAGAUUGUGUUACAUUGAACACAAACUGUUUAUAAUCAGACAUUUUCCGUCGGACUGUUUUGUGUUAAUGUAACACGUGCUUAUUUAUUUAUGUAUUCAUGUGUUAUUAUUAUUCAUGUUUGCAAUGUGCCUUGCCUGUAGUUUGCAUGUCUGCUUGUUUGAUAUUAGAUGACAAUGUUUACCAAUGAA
This is a long non-coding RNA of Acipenser ruthenus (sterlet), 1168 nucleotides long. RefSeq lists it as uncharacterized. The record is from RefSeq and is a predicted model, not a curated record. The transcript has 2 exons. Lineage: Eukaryota; Metazoa; Chordata; Actinopteri; Acipenseriformes; Acipenseridae.